CAAUAGUGUAUCUUAACGUUGUUGCAGUUAAAAAGUUCGUAGUUGAAUUUCUGGGGGGGAGGCUUUGGUUAACGCCGGGCAGCCCCUUCAUCCGCCUUGGAAUCAGGAAGGGUAUUUGUUUACUGGCCUGAGGAAGUGGCAUUUUACUUUGAAGAAAUUAGAGUGUUCAUAGCAGGCUUUUGCUUGAAUAUAUCAGCAUGGAAUAAUGGAAUAGGACAUCGUCCGUCUCUUGGUGAUUGGACAUGUAAUGAUUAACAGGGACAGUUGGGGGCACUCGUAUUCGUUAGUCAGAGGUGGAAUUCAUUGAUUUGACGAAGACGAACUAAAGCGAAGGCAUUUGCCAAGGAUGUUUUCAUUAA
RNAcentral lists this ribosomal RNA (359 nucleotides) under uncultured eukaryote. RNAcentral describes it as "partial 18S ribosomal RNA". It matches the Rfam family "Eukaryotic small subunit ribosomal RNA", at positions 592 to 976 of the family's 1831-position model. The record is from RNAcentral.